UACUCAGGAUGAAGAAUAAGUAAUUCCUCACCCGGGUCGAUCGACCGAGCAAUGGUCUAGUUUAACUAACGUCAGCAAUGUAAUUUUACGUCGAUGGAAAACGGGUCGUCCACUACCCUUGAUGGCAAAGGAAAAAAAACUAGCCCACUCCCCCGGUCCGUUUCUCUCUCCCUCCGGCUGCUCGCAUCUCGCCAUUGCGGUUCCCCUCAAAAAAUAAAAAAUCUCGUCAAUGCGGAGGCAGCGGCAGCGAGCCAGCGACGGCGCCGGAGGGAUGACCCAACGGCGAGGACUACCUCUUUCGCGUGUGGAGUAUUACCCUUUUUCCUCUCUCGUGCGGCAACGACUCGGAGGCACCGUGGGGGAUGCAAGAUCUGGGCGAAGCUCGGCAGUGACAGCGAUCUUCUCCGGCGUCCCUCUCCACUGUCGGCGUGCAGGGGAAGAGGAAGCAGACCAAGAAAGGAAAGGAAAGAUAAAUGAGGAGCUCGGGUGAUGGAGGUAACGCUCGAGACGGACUCCUGGCGGUGGGAUCAAUUCAAGGAGGAGAUGAAGAGACCAUAUGGAUGACAUAGAAGAAGAGGAGAAAGCUCAAGGCUGCGGAGAAAGGAACAACAGUAGAGUAUCAGACUUCAAUCUAGCUGAGAUCAAUUUUUGUUUGUCACGGGACAUAUGAAUACUCUACUGAUUUUGCUUUUGUUUAAGUUUCACGAAUUUUCAAUUUUUCAUCCUUUAGCAAUAAAUGAUGGUUCUAACUUAAUUGAAGGUUAGUAAUGAUGUGCAUAAAGAGUCAGUCUGUACCUAGCUGACAAUGCUAUCUGUAUAUUUAUGUUAUAAUCGAAAUUUGCACAUACAUACGAGCAA
Aegilops tauschii subsp. strangulata is the source of this 858-nucleotide non-coding RNA. The record is from RefSeq and is a predicted model, not a curated record. Lineage: Eukaryota; Viridiplantae; Streptophyta; Magnoliopsida; Poales; Poaceae.